UCUCCAAUAGGAGUAUUUAUAGAUUACAAUGCCAGUAAUUACAGUAAUUACAAGAAAAAGGAACAUCUUGAUUACAUACUCAGUAAAGCCAAAGAAUCAAAAAUAAAAUUGCUAAAUAAAGAGAAACCAAAAAUAGAUGUGCAGGCUAAAUAUGAAUAUAUGUUGACUUACUAAACAUAGAGAGAAAAUAAAUAAGAGUAUAUGCCAAA
RNAcentral lists this long non-coding RNA (209 nucleotides) under Elaeis guineensis (African oil palm). RNAcentral's name for it is "long non-coding RNA (EGUI_LNC045147)". Lineage: Eukaryota; Viridiplantae; Streptophyta; Magnoliopsida; Arecales; Arecaceae. The record is from RNAcentral.